Molecule: ribosomal RNA, 431 nt
Filed under: uncultured bacterium
Lineage: Bacteria
Description: bacterial SSU rRNA
Rfam family: Bacterial small subunit ribosomal RNA
Source: RNAcentral
ACGAACGCUGGCGGCAGGCCUAACACAUGCAAGUCGAGCGCCCUCGCAAGAGGGAGCGGCGGACGGGUGAGUAACGCGUGGGAAUUUUCCUCAAGGUACGGAACAACUCAGGGAAACUUGGGCUAAUACCGUAUGAUGUCUAGCGACCAAAGAUUUAUCGCCUUGGGAUAAGCCCGCGUCAGAUUAGGUAGUUGGUGGGGUAACGGCCUACCAAGCCUGCGAUAUGUAGCUGGUCUGAGAGGACGAUCAGCCACACUGGGACUGGGACACGGCCCAGACUCCUACGGGAGGCAGCAGUGGGGAAUCUUGCGCAAUGGGCGAAAGCCUGACGCAGCCAUGCCGCGUGAAUGAUGAAGGUCUUAGGAUUGUAAAGUUCUUUCGCUCGUGACGAUGAUGACGGUAACGAGAGAAGAAGCCCCGGCUAACUUCGU